GACUAAUAUCAUAUAAACAACUGAAGCAUGGCAUUUGUAGAUUAAUAUUACUUUUUUCCUAUUUUUUAAUACCAGGGGGCAAACAAGUUGCAUUAUCAUGCCUUCUCCUUGGCAUUUUUCCGAAGAAGUGAUCAAUUGGUCUUUUUUAAACUGUUGUAUGAAGGUAUGAAAUUGAAAACAUUUGGGUAAAAUUCAUGUAAAAAUAACUAAAUCGUAUAGAAUUGAUAUCGCUAAUUGGUGUAUUUCCAAAACCUUUUAAUAAAAGCUAAUAUUAAUCACAACACCAUGGUGGUGAACGAAAUUAGAAAGUAAGUAUCAUAAUAAAUUGAGUCAUUUAAAGGCAUAGAAAGAUUUAAUUCAAUAACUACAGCACGUAAUGCUGUACUUGUAAACCAACAAUCGUUUACAAGCAAUUUUAUAUGAUCAAUUCGAGGAAGUAAAAAAAAAUGGGGUAAUAAAAUAAAAAAAAAGAUUUUUGAAAUUAAAUUCAGUUACAGUAGAAUAACUUUACAGAACAAUUGAAAGCUGGAG
Molecule: long non-coding RNA, 531 nt
Filed under: Mytilus galloprovincialis (Mediterranean mussel)
Lineage: Eukaryota; Metazoa; Mollusca; Bivalvia; Mytilida; Mytilidae
Source: RNAcentral